GAUGAAGAACGUAGUAAAAUGCGAUACGUAGUGUGAAUUGCAGAAUUCAGUGAAUCAUCGAAUCUUUGAACGCACAUUGCACCUCUCGGUAUUCCGGGAGGUAUGCCUGUUCGAGCGUCAUUUGUACCCUCAAGCUCUGCUUGGUGUUGGGUGUUUGUUCCGCCUCUGUGUGUGAACUCGCCUCAAAACAAUUGGCAGCCGGCGUACUUGUUUCGGAGCGCAGCACAUUUUGCGAUCCAGAUCAACGUACAGCGGCAUCCAAGAAGCCUUAUUUAACGCUCUUGACCUCGGAUCAGGUAGGGAUACCCGCUGAACUUAAGCAUAUCAAUAAGCGGAGGA
This 339-nucleotide unclassified non-coding RNA is filed under the name soil metagenome. RNAcentral describes it as "partial contains 5.8S ribosomal RNA, internal transcribed spacer 2, and large subunit ribosomal RNA". The stretch from base 1 to 120 matches the Rfam family "5.8S ribosomal RNA", at positions 35 to 154 of the family's 154-position model. The record is from RNAcentral.